Molecule: long non-coding RNA, 593 nt
Organism: Saccoglossus kowalevskii
Lineage: Eukaryota; Metazoa; Hemichordata; Enteropneusta; Harrimaniidae
Source: RefSeq, a predicted model, not a curated record
CGAGGCGCGUGUCCCUAUACGCAGCUCUAAACGAGCAGUGACGGAGUUGGCUGCUGUUACAUAUAUCGGAAUUUCGACACGACUAUCUGAUUCCCACUUUUCUUCUUGACAGAGCGUACCUGCAUUGGUGUCUCCUAUAACGGCAAGACUGUAUCGCUGUUGAAAAUGAAGUACGCAAUUCUGGUUGUUCUCGUAUUGGGAUUGAUGGUAACAGAGUCUAUGGGUACAGCUGUAUGUGGCCUAGCUAACCCGUCACAAGACUGUGCUUUAUGCCUCAAAGCAGGAUUUAUCACAGACGCGGCUGCCUGCGCCCAUGGUAGAGAUGCAUGCAAAUUAUGCGAAGAUCGACUGCGGUCAUUAUAGUUAUGUAUAUCAUAUAUAUUGUGAAGAUAUCUAUAUAUCAUCUAUAUACAAGCUAUCGUCCAACUACCAGUCCCAAAGAAGCUUCUAGUAAUGCACAAUGCGAUAUACAUUACGUCAUUCAACUAGCACCAGUCUCCGUGAAACCAUAGACAAUUAUAACCCGUACCCAACCCAUGUGUUCCGCAUAUGCGUAGAAAUCGUUCAAUAAAGUUCAUUAAAAUGUAAAUAAA